GACGAACGCUGGCGGCGUGCUAAACACAUGCAAGUCGAACGAGAGCGUAGAGAAAGCUUGCUUUUUCUACAAUCUAGUGGCAAACGGGUGAGUAACGCGUAAACAACCUGCCCUACGGAUGGGGACAACAGCUGGAAACGGCUGCUAAUACCGAAUACGUUCCGAAAGUCGCAUGACUAUCGGAAGAAAGGAUGGCCUCUAUUUAUAAGCUAUCGCCGGAGGAGGGGGUUGCGUCUGAUUAGCUAGUUGGAGGGGUAACGGCCCACCAAGGCGACGAUCAGUAGCCGGUCUGAGAGGAUGAACGGCCACAUUGGAACUGAGACACGGUCCAGACUCCUACGGGAGGCAGCAGUGGGGAAUCUUCCGCAAUGGGCGAAAGCCUGACGGAGCAACGCCGCGGGAGUGAAGACGGCCUUCGGGUUGUAAAGCUCUGUUAUACGGGACGAAUAAUCUUGUGGUUAAUACCCAUGAGAAGUGACGGUACCGUAAGAGAAAGCCACGGCUAACUACGUG
RNAcentral lists this ribosomal RNA (513 nucleotides) under uncultured bacterium. RNAcentral's name for it is "partial 16S ribosomal RNA". It matches the Rfam family "Bacterial small subunit ribosomal RNA", at positions 28 to 507 of the family's 1533-position model. The record is from RNAcentral.